Long non-coding RNA from Gallus gallus (chicken), 1377 nucleotides. The record is from Ensembl. NCBI's taxonomy places the organism in Eukaryota, Metazoa, Chordata, Aves, Galliformes, Phasianidae.
UGUGUGACAGAUGGCAGCAGAGGGGCACUCUGACAAGAUGACAUCUGACAUGGAAGUGUGUGUGGAGCAAAGGUUUACAAUGCUUAAUUGUGGACUGCCUUCAAGUGAGGUGAUUUGAUUGGUCCUGUGAGAGAAGGAAAAGGCUGGUGUUCAUCUGGAUCUCACCCUGCUGUGGGCAGCUGGGCUGCGCAUAGGUAGCAGCAAAGCAAAAGCCAAACCGACUUAAAAUAGCAGAUGUUAUGAAUGAUGCCACAGAGUAAUCAGAGGUAUCCGAGGCAAGGGAAAGAUAUAACAAAGAUUUAACAGUUUGCGUCAAAGUUUCCAUGUCUUGCCUGAAUGCCUUUCCAAUCACCUCUGUACCUGCGCUACAAGCAUUUCAACCAGCCAAUCAGAGAACUAAAGCAAACUCUAACUAUUAGAUGACCAUUGAUGUGCCCUGAAUAGAAGGUGACAAAAAUCUGAGUCCACAAAAUGUUUCAGAGGAUUUUGGCUAUUUAUCAAAUUUCCUGUGGCUGCAAGGAUGUUCUCCAGAAGAGAAUAUGGAUCAAGUGGACCAGGCAGCUGGAUAAAAAGGGAAUAUGCCACAAGAAGAGGCCAGGAGAAGAAGUACCUGCUCUAAUGAGAACAUACAAGUUAUUCAAGGUGUGAAGUCUCUGUACCUACCUUUGGGAACUGGGUUCUUAGCUUGGCAAGUCAUUCAGUGCAUUCCUCACAUAAAGCUGCUAGGGAAUGGUAUUAAUUGCAAUAAGUCAAUAAGUUUGUAAGUUAAUCAGGUACUCAUCCAAGGCACAGGAAGAAUCUGUGCAAAGGAAUACUAUUCCCAGUAUUCCUAAUAUUACAUACAUAAUGGCUAUGGAACACAUAAAAAUAUAUAUGAAAAUGUUCAUGGUUUUGCUAUAAAACAAGCUGUCUGUAAAAUUUCCAUUUAAAGUUUAUUUUAAUCUGAUUGAUAUUAAAUGUUGUCCCUUAAUGAGCAGCUCAUUGUUUUGAAGAAUUGACUGUACAUUUACAUUUUUUUUCUUUAAAAAAGUUACUAAAUUUCUUUAAAAACAUUACUAAUCACUAAAUGCAUGCAAAAUUUUCUACACUACUGAAAUAAUAUUCUACAACAAUAUUCAUUCACUGCAACAUGGAGAGGAAGAUCUGAAAGGUUCACUCAUCCUGAAUGAUAGUGAGGAUGUUGUGUUUAUUUGGUUUUGUGUGUGGGUCUGUUUGUCUGUUUGUUAUUGCUUUCACAUUUUUCUUUCCCUUAAGAGGUCGUGUUGAGCCACAUUCAUUGUUGCCCACAUGUGUUUGUAUAUUGUGCAAAGGUAAUGAACUGAAAUGUAAACUUUGUGCAGAAGAAACUUGCAGUGAGUAAAUGCUUUGCUUACACUG